ACCAGUCUCACGUGCACGCAUCGCUUACGAUCAUGAUUUAGUAGUUCGAAAUGUGUUGUUAUGCUAACAAAUCGUGGGAAUUGCGCUUUCUCUGCGAGCAGCUACCACACUGAAAAUCGACUUUCUCGAGAAACUGUUGACUCCAGAAAAGCUUUACGUGAUGCAGUUAUUAUACAAGACGGCAGAGAAUUCUUCAACCAUUGGGAAACAUGCAGAGGCAGUCAACGUUUAUAUUUGAAUUGGAUUUAACUGUAGUCGUGUGAUUUGAUAUAACAUUAUGUAACUGUUUCCAAAUGCUGCAAUGGAUGGG
Corticium candelabrum is the source of this 310-nucleotide long non-coding RNA. RefSeq lists it as uncharacterized. The record is from RefSeq and is a predicted model, not a curated record. Lineage: Eukaryota; Metazoa; Porifera; Homoscleromorpha; Homosclerophorida; Plakinidae. The transcript has 3 exons.